UACGUAGGGUGCAAGCGUUGUCCGGAAUUAUUGGGCGUAAAGAGCUCGUAGGCGGCUUGUCACGUCGACUGUGAAAACCCGGGGCUCAACUCCGGGCCUGCAGUCGAUACGGGCUGGCUUGAGUGCGGUAGGGGAGACUGGAAUUCCUGGUGUAGCGGUGAAAUGCGCAGAUAUCAGGAGGAACACCGGUGGCGAAGGCGGGUCUCUGGGCCGUAACUGACGCUAAGGAGCGAAAGCGUGGGGAGCGAACAGG
RNAcentral lists this ribosomal RNA (253 nucleotides) under uncultured bacterium. RNAcentral's name for it is "partial 16S ribosomal RNA". It matches the Rfam family "Bacterial small subunit ribosomal RNA", at positions 524 to 776 of the family's 1533-position model. The record is from RNAcentral.